Molecule: ribosomal RNA, 483 nt
Filed under: uncultured bacterium
Lineage: Bacteria
Description: partial 16S ribosomal RNA
Rfam family: Bacterial small subunit ribosomal RNA
Source: RNAcentral
AUUGAACGCUGGCGGCAGGCCUAACACAUGCAAGUCGAGCGGAUGAAGGGAGCUUGCUCCUGGAUUCAGCGGCGGACGGGUGAGUAAUGCCUAGGAAUCUGCCUGGUAGUGGGGGAUAACGUCCGGAAACGGGCGCUAAUACCGCAUACGUCCUGAGGGAGAAAGUGGGGGAUCUUCGGACCUCACGCUAUCAGAUGAGCCUAGGUCGGAUUAGCUAGUUGGUGGGGUAAAGGCCUACCAAGGCGACGAUCCGUAACUGGUCUGAGAGGAUGAUCAGUCACACUGGAACUGAGGCACGGUCCAGACUCCUACGGGAGGCAGCAGUGGGGAAUAUUGGACAAUGGGCGAAAGCCUGAUCCAGCCAUGCCGCGUGUGUGAAGAAGGUCUUCGGAUUGUAAAGCACUUUAAGUUGGGGGAAGGGCAGUAAGUUAAUACCUUGCUGUUUUGACGUUACCAACAGAAUAAGCACCGGCUAACUUCGUG